GACAGAGGGUGCAAACGUUGUUCGGAAUUACUGGGCGCAAAGCGCGUGUAGGCGGCCCUGCAAGUCGGGUGUGAAAUCCCACGGCUCAACCGUGGAAGUGCACUCGAAACUGCAGGGCUAGAGUCCUGGAGAGGAAGGUGGAAUGCUUGGUGUAGCGGUGAAAUGCGUAGAUAUCAAGAGGAACACCUGAGGUGAAGACGGGUUGCUGGGCUGACACUGACGCUGAGGCGCGAAAGCUAGGGGAGCAAACGGGAUUAGAAACCCCCAGUAGU
RNAcentral lists this ribosomal RNA (272 nucleotides) under uncultured bacterium. Its description in RNAcentral is "partial 16S ribosomal RNA". It matches the Rfam family "Bacterial small subunit ribosomal RNA", at positions 524 to 794 of the family's 1533-position model. The record is from RNAcentral.